Molecule: ribosomal RNA, 343 nt
Filed under: uncultured bacterium
Lineage: Bacteria
Description: bacterial SSU rRNA
Rfam family: Bacterial small subunit ribosomal RNA
Source: RNAcentral
AACGAACGUUGGCGGCGUGGAUUAGGCAUGCAAGUCGUACGCGAAAGAGGGGGCAACUCCUCGAGUAAAGUGGCGAACGGGUGAGUAACGCGUAGGAAACCUGCCUUCGAGAUGGGGGAUAACACUCCUAACGGGGUGCUAAUACCGAAUGACACUGCGGGAUCGCAUGGUUCUGCAGUCAAAGGUGGCCUCUGCUUGCAAGCUACCACUCAAAGAUGGUCCUGCGUCCCAUAGCUAGUUGGCGGGGUAACGGCCCGACCAAGGCGACCGAUGGGUAGCCGAUCUGAGAGGAUGACCGGCCACACUGGGACUGAGACACGGCCCAGACUCCUACGGGAGGCAG